GUGAAUCAUCAAAUUUUUGAACGCAUAUUGCACUCUCUGGUAUUCCGGAGAGUAUGCCUAUUUGAGGGUCAUUUGAAAUAAUAUAAUUUCCAAGAUUUCUCGGAAUUUAAAAUGGGCUGUGUAUUUUUUGUGGUUGAAUAAAAUCCAAGACAAGCUAAUUUUCUCGGGUUGCGUGAUAUUUUCAGUUACCUCGUGACUACACAAAAAAUCAUCGAGCGUGUUU
RNAcentral lists this unclassified non-coding RNA (223 nucleotides) under Ambisporaceae sp. RNAcentral describes it as "partial contains 5.8S ribosomal RNA and internal transcribed spacer 2". The stretch from base 1 to 71 matches the Rfam family "5.8S ribosomal RNA", at positions 84 to 154 of the family's 154-position model. The record is from RNAcentral. Lineage: Eukaryota; Fungi; Glomeromycota; Glomeromycetes; Archaeosporales; Ambisporaceae.